GAUGAACGCUGGCGGCGUGCCUAAUACAUGCAAGUCGAGCGAACAGACGAGGAGCUUGCUCCUCUGACGUUAGCGGCGGACGGGUGAGUAACACGUGGAUAACCUACCUAUAAGACUGGGAUAACUUCGGGAAACCGGAGCUAAUACCGGAUAAUAUAUUGAACCGCAUGAUUCAAUAGUGAAAGACGGUUUUGCUGUCACUUAUAGAUGGAUCCGCGCCGCAUUAGCUAGUUGGUAUGGUAACGGCUUACCAAGGCAACGAUGCGUAGCCGACCUGAGAGGGUGAUCGGCCACACUGGAACUGAGACACGGUCCAGACUCCUACGGGAGGCAGCAGUAGGGAAUCUUCCGCAAUGGGCGAAAGCCUGACGGAGCAACGCCGCGUGAGUGAUGAAGGUCUUCGGAUCGUAAAACUCUGUUAUUAGGGAAGAACAAAUGUGUAAGUAACUAUGCACGUCUUGACGGUACCUAAUCAGAAAGCCACGGCUAACUACGUG
This 497-nucleotide ribosomal RNA is filed under the name uncultured bacterium. RNAcentral's name for it is "partial 16S ribosomal RNA". It matches the Rfam family "Bacterial small subunit ribosomal RNA", at positions 28 to 507 of the family's 1533-position model. The record is from RNAcentral.